CCCCCAGCACACACACACACACACACACACACACACACACCCCACCUCAUGAAUAAAAGUCUCUAUAACUCCAAGACUAGACAGACAGCUGGCAUCCUGCCUCCUGCUUUGCAUCACAGGCAUUUUAAAGAGACACCUCUGUGGUCUUCAUUCACGGAAAACAGUCAUUUAUACUACACGAGAUUCAAAACCCCAGGGAGGUACUUAAGUAAUUUAGCAUUUUUGUUUCAGUGAAAAUAUUAUUUCUAGUUCAUAAUGGGAAGUUCAAAAACAUUGCUUCUUAUCACUGAAAGCUUUCCAAAGUAUAUAAUCUGGACUCUUUAUAGGUAUGUUGCCUAUAAAAAAGCCCCGGGGAACAAAAAUCGGGUCUUCCUACAAAGAAAUGCCUUCCGUAUCUCCAGUUGCUUGAGGACAAGGUCUUUAAUUUAGGGUUGAGUGAGACUCACAGAUAAACACUUUAAAGUCUUGAGAACUGCACUUAUCUUUAACAAGCUUUUAAGAUGGGAUGGGGGCGUGCUUCUCUGUCUGCUAGGCAGACUGUGACGUCACAGAGCACACAGGGCUUUGUCCGCAAGUUCAGUAUUCUGUGCCAGAUUCUUCAUGGAAGCCAGGCAGCACGGGAGUCUUGCCACUGAGGGGGAGUGGGUGCAGUUUGAAUACUUUCCGUUACUGACCCUGGCUGAGUUUGUAUCCACCUGGGCCUGCAAGAAUGAGACCUUACCUGGGGAAAAAAAUUCAGAUGAGCUGAGAGUUAAAGAGCCCCGGAGGCUUAGUGAAAGAAGGGGAUUUCAUCGUGACCACAUCUUCGGCUUACCUUCUCCAGCACCUGGAGGAUCUGGGAAAAUUUUCAUUUGA
Molecule: long non-coding RNA, 855 nt
Organism: Mus spicilegus (steppe mouse)
Lineage: Eukaryota; Metazoa; Chordata; Mammalia; Rodentia; Muridae
Source: Ensembl